AUAGGUAAUUAUGUCUUCAUACUAUGGGACACUUCCCUCAGAUGCAUCCUCUAAACUGGAAAGAGUUAAUUUCCCAAAGCUUAAACUGGUUGGCUUAGGAUUGGGCUCAGGGGAAGAGAACCCAGAAACUCAACAUGCUGACAAAAGGGUAAAGUUUUUUACCAGUCGGAUUUUUGGCCUCCCUCUCUCUGUGAAAAACAGUAAAAGGUCUCAGUAUUUUUAAAUUUUCCUCACCCCUCCCCGUGUUUCAUUUUGACACGUUUUCUAAUAACCCAGUGUGUCUUUUCUUGCCUUCAAGCCAUCAAACUCCAAACGGUCAUGCAACUGGAGCCUCCGGCGAUGGUCCCUUUUGCCAGGGACCCUGAGAUAGGCCUCCGAGGGAGCUCUGACUGCCAUUUCCCCAAAACAGCCCCCACUAUCAGCAGGAAACAGCUGCCUGAGCAAUUGUGUCUGGUUCGUGAAGUGAGUUCCCAUUAUCAUCCAAUUGGCCCUGAUCUCACAUCCCAAGCCCAUGGAUCAUACCACAUUGUUCUUUCUGCAAAACAGUUGAGAAUUACCAGUAAUUGGGACUGUUUACAUUCAAUGCCAUCAUGACAGAAGCAGCUUUAUUAUAUUGCAGAGGAAUGAUUAAUACAUGAUGGGGAUUAAAGAUUGCAUUGCAGCAGGCCAAGGCAAGAGGCAAUAAAGAUUAAUAAUUUUAGAUUUCCACUGUAGCAAGAACGGGAAAAAAGUGUCAUCUGAAAUGCCAACUUCAAGCAAUUGCAGUGAUUUCCUGGAACCCUACGUGACAAGUCCAGAUUCAAAAAAAAAAACUGUGAGGAUCCGUUAGCAGUGUUUACGAUGGGCAAGUCUUGUGAUGGGGUUACCCUCCUUGCAUUAGAAUUUGCAGUCUUCUAUUAGGCCAUUAGUCUUUGAGAGCAAAAACUGUAUGUAUCUCAUUUUUGUAGCCCAAGUGCCAGGCACACAGUAGCUGCUCCAAAAGCAAAGGACAUCGAGUCUGAAUCAAGCUGCUUGGGUUUAAUGGCUGUCUUUGUCGCUUACUAGCUGAGUGAACUCGUCAUGUUUAUAACUUAAUUGUGGUUCAGUUUCCUUCUCUACAGAAAAGGCAUGAGUUCCUCAUUCAUAGAGUUAUAAUAAGGGUUAAUUAAAGUCAUGCAUAUCCAAAGCUUAGCAUAGUACCUGGGACAUAGUAAAUACUUGAGGAAUGCAGGUAUAAAUUAACAUAGGAGUGAAUAACAUUGCAAGGAAACAGAGAAAAGGAUCCUAAACAGUCCUGCUGGUAUAUUCAUUUAUGAUUCAAAAAUCCUCAAUUGUUAAAAUUUGGGUCAGAACCUUAUUAUUCCAGGUUGUUGGUAAAUGUGAGGACUCUUCUGGGUUUGGAAGUAGAACAAUAAAUUGAGAGGCCAAAGAAGCUGCAAAUAAAAAUUGGCUUCUCUGGGAAAAUGAUUUUCACAUUUAUACCUACCUGCCUUUUGUCCUCCCAUGCAUUUCUCCAGAUGUGAUGCCAAUGUGAUACAAUCGUUGUUUAUUCCUUCUCUGACAAUAGCAAGGUAGAGUGAGCCUUCCAGUGAGGGCUUAAAAUAUAGCUCCAGAGACAUUCACCACUACUUCCUGCCUCCAUGGUUACACAUUCCCUUUCACAAAUAAAACAUGGCCUCAUGCUUCAUGCUGAGCUUGCAUUUUACAUACAUCAUUUAGAUCUUCUCUGCAAACCUAUGAAGUGGGCAUGGUAAUCUUCCUUUACAAAUAGAGAAACUGAGGCCUAAGAUGGGGAGCAAUUUCCCUUUAAAAAACUUUUAUUGUCAAGGUCCAAAUGGCUGAUGAUUCAUGCCAUAGACAUCCCAAACCAGCUGGUAGGCAGAGCUCUUGGCAUUCCAAAUGGAAACGUGGAACAGACACAGAUCACCUGGCCACACAGACCUCAGCUCUAAAGACAGAUGACUACUUACCUGUUAAAGUUCCCUGUGCACUAUUUUUUAAAAUCUAGAGAUAGAUAAUAAAUAGGUUAAGUUACAUUUUAAAUUAGCCCAUGAACAUUUGAGAACAGUAUCAUUUUUAGAAUCUUAAUUCUGAGAUUCACUGUUGGGCUUAAGUCACUGCUUCUGUGAUGGUUAGUUUUGGGUGUGAACUUGACUGUAUUAAGGGAUACUUAUCUGGGAAAGCAUUAUUUACUCUCCAUGCUUCAGUAGAUACUGAGCCCUUCCCUUUUCUGCUGAAAGGGAAAUCCAGGUGGCUUGGCGUUUGAUUAGAAUAAUUGGGCUGCCCCAGGUGUGUCCGUGAGGGUGCUUCUGAGGGAAACUGGGACUAAAUGAAGAAGAUCCGCCCUCCAUAUGGGCAGGCACUAUUCCAAUUGGCUGGGGGCCCCAGAUAGAACAAAAAGGCAGAUAAAGGGCAGUCUCCCUGGAGAAGAGACCUGCCUGUAGACAGACAUCAGAACUCCAGGUUCUCCAGCCUUUGGGCUCCAGGACUCACACCAAUGCGCCACCGGGCUCUCUGACCUUUAGCUUUGGACUGAGAAUUACACCAUAGAAUGCCCUGGUUCUGAGGCCUUCAAACUCAGACUGAGCCACGCUACAGGCUUUCCGGAUUGUCCAGCAUACAGAAGGUCUGUUGUGGGAUUUCUCAGCCUCCAUGAGUAAGUAAGAAAAUUGCCUCGAAUAAAUCCUUUUUCAUAUGUCUCUCU
RNAcentral lists this non-coding RNA (2683 nucleotides) under Pan troglodytes (chimpanzee). The record is from RNAcentral. Lineage: Eukaryota; Metazoa; Chordata; Mammalia; Primates; Hominidae.